RNAcentral lists this ribosomal RNA (351 nucleotides) under Cerambyx cerdo. RNAcentral describes it as "partial large subunit ribosomal RNA". The stretch from base 1 to 153 matches the Rfam family "Archaeal large subunit ribosomal RNA", at positions 1991 to 2143 of the family's 2987-position model. The record is from RNAcentral. Lineage: Eukaryota; Metazoa; Arthropoda; Insecta; Coleoptera; Cerambycidae.
ACUGAGUAGUUAAAGGGCCGCGGUAUCUUGACCGUGCAAAGGUAGCAUAAUAAUUAGUUUCUUAAUUGGAAGCUUGUAUGAACGGUAGAAUGAGAAAAUCACUGUCUCUGGCCAAUUUGAGUUUGAAUUUUAUCUUUGAGUUAAAAAGCUCAAAUGUUAUUAAAAGACGAGAAGACCCUGUAGAAUUUUAUAUGCUUGAAUGUUGGGUUUUAUUGGUAUUUUUAUGUAUUUAAUAUUUAAUCAUAUUUGGUUGGGGCGAUCGAAAAAUUAGGUUAACUUUUUUUUAAUUAUUACAUUGAUUUAUGGUUUAUUGAUCCAGGGUUUCUGAUUAUAAGAUAAAAUUACCUUAGG